AGUGAACGCUAGUGGCGUGCUUAACACAUGCAAGUCGAACGGACGAUAUUUGUGCUUGCACAAAUAAAGUUAGUGGCAAACGGGUGAGUAACACGUGGAUAACCUACCUAUAAGACUGGGAUAACUUCGGGAAACCGGAGCUAAUACCGGAUAAUAUAUUGAACCGCAUGGUUCAAUAGUGAAAGACGGUUUUGCUGUCACUUAUAGAUGGAUCCGCGCCGCAUUAGCUAGUUGGUAAGGUAACGGCUUACCAAGGCAACGAUGCGUAGCCGACCUGAGAGGGUGAUCGGCCACACUGGAACUGAGACACGGUCCAGACUCCUACGGGAGGCAGCAGUAGGGAAUCUUCCGCAAUGGGCGAAAGCCUGACGGAGCAACGCCGCGUGAGUGAUGAAGGUCUUCGGAUCGUAAAACUCUGUUAUUAGGGAAGAACAAAUGUGUAAGUAACUAUGCACGUCUUGACGGUACCUAAUCAGAAAGCCACGGCUAACUACGUGCCAGCAGCCGCCGUAAAAC
RNAcentral lists this ribosomal RNA (516 nucleotides) under uncultured bacterium. RNAcentral describes it as "bacterial SSU rRNA". It matches the Rfam family "Bacterial small subunit ribosomal RNA", at positions 29 to 526 of the family's 1533-position model. The record is from RNAcentral.